GCUUUCGUUCCUUCCCACAGAUGAAAAAAUAUAACUGUAAAUACCUGUAUGAUAUACGUCUGGUGCAUUGCAGGUAAGAAUGGAUUGUGUGUGGCGCGCUUCACCGCAUGUGGACUAGAGUAGAUCUAGGAACAUCAGACAAGAAGACACGUAUGUGAAACCCUGCGGAUAGCCCAUAUGUAAGUUCUUCCUCAAUUUUUCUUUUGUUGCAUUUUCGUAGUUUACGUGUAAUACUUUGUCACCGCGGUCUCGACGUUAUGUAUACCUAUACAUUUGUCUCGUGGCAGUCUGCGUGCUAUUUUGUUUGUGCAACUAUGUGUUGUAUUCAUUUAUCGCGCUGCCUGGAUGGUUUUUUUUUUUUUCACUGAUAUUCCGACCAAAGUCGGUAAACCUAUCCUUCCUGUCCUCAUGUUUCCUUGGGCGGCUCUAAAGCGUAUCUUAGAGGAAUAUUUAGCUUCAGAUUCCCGCAUGGAACAGAUGGUGAACUUUUUUUCCAGAUACGGAGGAACGGACACCGGUCGUGCCGUGAGCACUAUUCUGCAGGGCAUACUUCCAAAUGAAGCUGCACUGCAGUUCAGCUGGAAAGGGUCGCAGGGGAGGAAGCACGCCUUCGUGAAGCUCAUGGCCAUCACGAAUAUAACAUCUGUGAGGAGCACGUUCCCUGACGCUUCACUAGCAUCAGUGGCUGGAGUCGCAAAACGCUGGUUGGUUGGAGCAGCUGACAGGGAUGGAGGCCGGAAUGAAAGAAGGCGCCGUGACCCUGCUUCAAGCCCACCAAAUAUGAACUAGUGUUUGAAACUUGUGAACGUGUCGGUGUACAUAUACAAUUACAAGAAAUAAAGACCUGUA
RNAcentral lists this long non-coding RNA (849 nucleotides) under Dermacentor andersoni. RNAcentral describes it as "uncharacterized LOC126545831". The record is from RNAcentral. Lineage: Eukaryota; Metazoa; Arthropoda; Arachnida; Ixodida; Ixodidae.